AGAGCACUCCUACGGGAGGCAGCAGUGGGGAAUAUUGCUACAAUUGGGCGCAAGCCUGAUGCAGCCAUGCCGUCGUGUAUGAAGUAAGGCCUUCGGGUUGUAAAGUACUUUCAGCAGUGAGGAAGGUGGGUAUGUUAAUAGCAUACUCAUUUGACGUUAGCUGCAGAAGAAGCACCGGCUAACUCCGUGCCAGCAGCCGCGGUAAUACGGAGGGUGCGAGCGUUAAUCGGAAUUACUGGGCGUAAAGCGCAUGCAGGUGGUUUGUUAAGUCAGAUGUGAAAGCCCGGGGCUCAACCUCGGAAUUGCAUUUGAAACUGGCAAACUAGAGUACUGUAGAGGGGGUAGAAUUUCAGGUGUAGCGGUGAAAUGCGUAGAGAUCUGAAGGAAUACCGGUGGCGAAGGCGGCCCCCUGGACAGAUACUGACACUCAGAUGCGAAAGCGUGGGGAGCAAACAGGAUUAGAUACCCUGGUAG
RNAcentral lists this ribosomal RNA (474 nucleotides) under uncultured bacterium. RNAcentral's name for it is "bacterial SSU rRNA". It matches the Rfam family "Bacterial small subunit ribosomal RNA", at positions 330 to 793 of the family's 1533-position model. The record is from RNAcentral.